UUCUAAAGAUUAAAAAAACCCCUACGAUUAAAAACCUCAGGUCCCUCAGGCAAUCAUACCAGAUAUUGAAACAAAGCAAUAACAUAAGGACUGCAGUAUUCAUUUUAUUUUUAUAUUAUUUAUUUAUUCUUCCUUAGUUUCUUGAGAUUAUCAUCCGCUGAGGGUGGAAGGGGAGUGAGCAGACACACUCAGGAGGUGUCUUGAGAUUAUCAUCCGCUGAGGGUAGAGCUGAGGGUGGAAGGGGAGUGAGCAGACACUCGGGAGGUGUCUUGAGAUUAUCAUCCGCUGAGGGUGGAAGGGGAUAGAGCACACACUCGGAAGGUGUCUUGAGAUUAUCAUCCGCUGAGGGUGGAAGGGGAUAGAGCACACACUCGGAAGGUGUCUUGAGGCUCAGGGAGUUAUCAAUUAUAGAAUGUUGUUGAGUUGGA
This 428-nucleotide long non-coding RNA is filed under the name Homo sapiens (human). RNAcentral's name for it is "HSALNT0384744". Lineage: Eukaryota; Metazoa; Chordata; Mammalia; Primates; Hominidae. The record is from RNAcentral.